GACGAACGCUGGCGGCGUGCUUAACACAUGCAAGUCGAACGGAAAGGCCCUGCUUUUGUGGGGUGCUCGAGUGGCGAACGGGUGAGUAACACGUGAGUAACCUGCCCUUGACUUUGGGAUAACUUCAGGAAACUGGGGCUAAUACCGGAUAGGAGCUCCUGCUGCAUGGUGGGGGUUGGAAAGUUUCGGCGGUUGGGGAUGGACUCGCGGCUUAUCAGCUUGUUGGUGGGGUAGUGGCUUACCAAGGCUUUGACGGGUAGCCGGCCUGAGAGGGUGACCGGCCACAUUGGGACUGGGAUACGGCCCAGACUCCUACGGGAGGCAGCAGUGGGGGAUAUUGCACAAUGGGUGGGAGCCUGAUGCAGCAACGCCGCGUGCGGGAUGACGGCCUUCGGGUUGUAAACCGCUUUCGCCUGUGACGAAGCGUGAGUGACGGUAAUGGGUAAAGAAGCACCGGCUAACUACGUG
This 468-nucleotide ribosomal RNA is filed under the name uncultured bacterium. RNAcentral's name for it is "partial 16S ribosomal RNA". It matches the Rfam family "Bacterial small subunit ribosomal RNA", at positions 28 to 507 of the family's 1533-position model. The record is from RNAcentral.